ACUCCUACGGGAGGCAGCAGUGGGGAAGUAUUGGACAAUGGGCGAAAGCCUGAUCCAGCCAUGCCGCGUGUGUGAAGAAGGUCUUCGGAUUGUAAAGCACUUUAAGUUGGGAGGAAGGGCAGUUACCUAAUACGUGAUUGUUUUGACGUUACCGACAGAAUAAGCACCGGCUAACUCCGUGCCAGCAGCCGCGGUAAUACGGAGGGGUGCGAGCGUUAAUCGGAAUUACUGGGCGUAAAGCGCAUGCAGGCGGCCUGUUAAGUCAGAUGUGAAAGCCCGGGGGCUUAACCUCGGAAUUGCAUUUGAAACUGGCAGGCUAGAGUCUUGUAGAGGGGGUAGAAUUUCAGGUGUAGCGGUGAAAUGCGUAGAGAUCUGAAGGAAUACCAGUGGCGAAGGCGGCCCCCUGGACAAAGACUGACGCUCAGAUGCGAAAGCGUGGGGAGCAAACAGGAUUAGAUACCCUGGUAGGAUAGCG
Molecule: ribosomal RNA, 475 nt
Filed under: uncultured bacterium
Lineage: Bacteria
Description: bacterial SSU rRNA
Rfam family: Bacterial small subunit ribosomal RNA
Source: RNAcentral